AAACCAACAGGGAUUGCCUCAGUAACGGCGAGUGAAGCGGCAAAAGCUCAAAUUUGAAAGCCCUCGGGCAUUGUAAUUUGUAGGCCGAGUGGUAUAGCGCUUAGGAUGUCAAGUCCCUUGGAACAGGGUGCCUUAGAGGGUGACAGCCCCGUAGACGUCUCGCAGUGCUUCGCACCAGUCGACCAAAGAGUCGAGUUGUUUGGGAAUGCAGCUCAAAGUGGGUGGUAAAUUCCAUCUAAAGCUAAAUACCGGCGAGAGACCGAUAGCGAACAAGUACAGUGAUGGAAAGAUGAAAAGCACUUUGAAAAGAGAGUGAAACAGUACGUGAAAUUGUUGAAAGGGAAGGGCUUGCAAGCAGACACGGCCUCGGCCGGGCCAGCGUGGGUUGCCAGGGGUGGACAAGACGGCGGGAACUUACAUUGUGAAGGUCCCGCUGGAAUACACCCACCGGCGUCUUUUUUCUGGCGUAAUGGUUGCAAGCCGCCCGUCUUGAAACACGGACCAAGGAGUCUAACGUCUAUGCGAGUGUUUGGGUGA
Molecule: ribosomal RNA, 537 nt
Filed under: Sungouiella berkhoutiae
Lineage: Eukaryota; Fungi; Ascomycota; Pichiomycetes; Serinales; Metschnikowiaceae
Description: eukaryotic LSU rRNA
Rfam family: Eukaryotic large subunit ribosomal RNA
Source: RNAcentral